Molecule: ribosomal RNA, 481 nt
Filed under: uncultured bacterium
Lineage: Bacteria
Description: partial 16S ribosomal RNA
Rfam family: Bacterial small subunit ribosomal RNA
Source: RNAcentral
GAGGAAAGAGGGGGGCGUGCUUGACACAUGCAAGUCGAACGAAGCACUUUAUUUGAUUUCCUUCGGGACUGAUUAUUUUGUGACUGAGUGGCGGACGGGUGAGUAACGCGUGGGUAACCUGCCUUGUACAGGGGGAUAACAGUUGGAAACGGCUGCUAAUACCGCAUAAGCGCACAGCAUCGCAUGAUGCAGUGUGAAAAACUCCGGUGGUAUAAGAUGGACCCGCGUUGGAUUAGCUAGUUGGUGAGGUAACGGCCCACCAAGGCGACGAUCCAUAGCCGACCUGAGAGGGUGACCGGCCACAUUGGGACUGAGACACGGCCCAAACUCCUACGGGAGGCAGCAGUGGGGAAUAUUGCACAAUGGGCGAAAGCCUGAUGCAGCGACGCCGCGUGAGCGAAGAAGUAUUUCGGUAUGUAAAGCUCUAUCAGCAGGGAAGAUAAUGACGGUACCUGACUAAGAAGCACCGGCUAAAUACGUG